Long non-coding RNA from Beta vulgaris subsp. vulgaris (sugar beet), 551 nucleotides. RefSeq lists it as uncharacterized. The record is from RefSeq and is a predicted model, not a curated record. The transcript is spliced from 4 exons. Lineage: Eukaryota; Viridiplantae; Streptophyta; Magnoliopsida; Caryophyllales; Amaranthaceae.
UUGUCAAACGAACUUUCAUACGUGCUUUUCAUAGAACUUAUCCCCUUCAUACUACAACAACACAUUGAAACACAUUUCAAACUCCAUUGAUUAAAUUCAAAUCCCAUUCAAGUUGCAAGAUUGCUUCUCAUGCGGAUCAUUAUUCAAUACCCAGGCAACAAAGGUAUAAUUGGUAUCACUGUAUAUGCGAGUUCUAUCAUCUUGGCCAAAGAUGGAGUGACAUACCUACAAAAUAUUGUACUAAUUGAUACAAGGCGGAGAGUUUCUCUCUAGGCGACUUUUAAGACUGUUAAAGUGGCCUAUCAGUUUGUUUACACAAGACUUUCUAGAUCAAUAGUGCAUUGUCAUCUACAAGCUAGGUUUGAAAAUGAUGCAUCAUUCAGUUCGAAAAUGGAGAGCUUGUGUAGUUUAUUAUUUAUUUAUCGUACAUUAGUUUAUAUAUUUUACAGUUGGUUUGAUUUUAAGUUAGUUCGUUGACGUUAUUGGUUGACUUUUGAAGUUGACUUUGUUGUUAUUUAAAUUUCAAUUCUAAAGUUAUUUAUUAUGUUUUU